RNAcentral lists this small RNA (620 nucleotides) under Pongo abelii (Sumatran orangutan). RNAcentral describes it as "retained intron". Lineage: Eukaryota; Metazoa; Chordata; Mammalia; Primates; Hominidae. The record is from RNAcentral.
UGUAAUUUUAAAAAUUAAGCUCUGUGGUACAUUUUCAAAGCACACCUUUCAUUUUCAUUUUUCAUUUUGUUUUAGGAGCUCUUUGUUCAAUGCCUAGCCACCUAUUCCUACAGACACGGCAGUGGAAAGGAAAAGAAAGUACUGACUUACAGUGAUUUAGCAAAUACUGCACAGGAAUCAGAAACUUUUCAGUUUCUUGCAGAUAUAUUACCAAAGAAGAUUUUAGCUAGUAAGUACCUGAAAAUGCUUAAAGAGGAAAAGAGGGAAGAAGAUGAGGAGAAUGACAAUGAUAAUGAAAGUGACCAUUAUGAAGCGGACUCCUAAACCAAAAAAGUGCUUUAAAAACAAGCCUGGCGAGGACGGCCCUGGACCCACUCCACUGUCUCUAAGUAAACACAGCACUGCCUGCUUUUAGCGUCUUUACUUCUUCACAGACUUCCAGUGCGUGGUAUUCUUUCGAGGUAUUCUUUCCAGGCCGAGAUUGAGCACCUCAUGCACCUACGCCACAAACAGCCGGAGGGAAAGCGACCCAGACAGCAGCCCCUCCUCGACAGGCCCACCCUGUAGCUCAGGCACCAAGAAAACAGCCGAUACUGGCAGCCAUUGCAGCUCCAAACUGC